This 477-nucleotide ribosomal RNA is filed under the name Candidatus Brocadia fulgida. Its description in RNAcentral is "bacterial SSU rRNA". It matches the Rfam family "Bacterial small subunit ribosomal RNA", at positions 365 to 832 of the family's 1533-position model. Lineage: Bacteria; Pseudomonadati; Planctomycetota; Candidatus Brocadiia; Candidatus Brocadiales; Candidatus Brocadiaceae. The record is from RNAcentral.
UUCGCAAUGCCCGAAAGGGUGACGAAGCGGCGCCGCGUGCGGGAAGAAGGCCUUUGGGUUGUAAACCGCUGUCGGGAGUUAAGAAGUGCAAGGGUGUUAAUAGCAUCUUUGCUUGACUAAGGCUCCGGAGGAAGCCACGGCUAACUCUGUGCCAGCAGCCGCGGUAAUACAGAGGCGGCAAGCGUUGUUCGGAAUUAUUGGGCGUAAAGAGCACGUAGGCGGCUAUGCAAGUCGGUUGUGAAAGCCUUCCGCUCAACGGAAGAACGGCAUCCGAUACUGCAUGGCUCGAGUGCGGGAGGGGAGAGUGGAACUUCUGGUGGAGCGGUGAAAUGCGUAGAUAUCAGAAGGAACACCGGCGGCGAAAGCGACUCUCUAGCCCGUAACUGGCGCUGAGUGUGCGAAAGCUAGGGGAGCAAACGGGAUUAGAUACCCCGGUAGUCCUAGCCGUAAACGAUGGGCACUAAGUAGAGGGGUUUU